GACGAACGCUGGCGGCGUGCCUAAUACAUGCAAGUCGAACGAAACUGUUUUAACUGGUGCUUGCACCGACUUAAACAACUGAGUGGCGAACGGGUGAGUAACACGUGGGUAACCUGCCCCAAAGCGGGGGAUAACAUUUGGAAACAGACGCUAAUACCGCAUAACCACAGAAACCACAUGGUUUCUGUGUCAAAGAUGGUUUCGGCUAUCACUUUGGGAUGGACCCGCGGCGUAUUAGUUAGUUGGUAAGGUAAUGGCUUACCAAGGCAAUGAUACGUAGCCGGACUGAGAGGUUGAUCGGCCACAUUGGGACUGAGACACGGCCCAAACUCCUACGGGAGGCAGCAGUAGGGAAUCUUCCACAAUGGACGAAAGUCUGAUGGAGCAACGCCGCGUGAGUGAAGAAGGUUUUCGGAUCGUAAAACUCUGUUGUCAGAGAAGAACGUGUGCGAGAGUAACUGCUCGUGCAGUGACGGUAUCUGGCCAGAAAGCCACGGCUAACUACGUGCCAGCCGCCGCCGUAA
This 524-nucleotide ribosomal RNA is filed under the name uncultured bacterium. Its description in RNAcentral is "partial 16S ribosomal RNA". It matches the Rfam family "Bacterial small subunit ribosomal RNA", at positions 28 to 523 of the family's 1533-position model. The record is from RNAcentral.